This 301-nucleotide ribosomal RNA is filed under the name uncultured bacterium. Its description in RNAcentral is "partial 16S ribosomal RNA". It matches the Rfam family "Bacterial small subunit ribosomal RNA", at positions 509 to 807 of the family's 1533-position model. The record is from RNAcentral.
CAGCAGCCGCGGGAAUACGUAGGGUGCAAGCGUUAAUCGGAAUUACUGGGCGUAAAGCGUGCGCAGGCGGUUAUAUAAGACAGAUGUGAAAUCCCCGGGCUCAACCUGGGAACUGCAUUUGUGACUGUAUAGCUAGAGUACGGCAGAGGGGGAUGGAAUUCCGCGUGUAGCAGUGAAAUGCGUAGAUAUGCGGAGGAACACCGAUGGCGAAGGCAAUCCCCUGGGCAUGUACUGACGCUCAUGCACGAAAGCGUGGGGAGCAAACAGGAUUAGAUACCCGCGUAGUCCCUGUCUCUUAUAC